Molecule: ribosomal RNA, 993 nt
Filed under: uncultured archaeon
Lineage: Archaea
Description: bacterial SSU rRNA
Rfam family: Archaeal small subunit ribosomal RNA
Source: RNAcentral
GUCCCAGCCGCCGCGGUAACACCAGCCCCUCGAGUGGUGGGGAUGAUUAUUUGGCCUAAAGCGUCCGUAGCCGGCCGGGUUAGUCUCCCGUUAAAUCCAGCGUCUCAAGCGUUGGACUGCGGGAGAUACUGCACGGCUAGAGAGUGGGAGAGGUCGACGGUAUUCUGGGGGUAGGGGCGAAAUCCUUUGAUCCCUGGAGGACCACCAGUGGCGAAGGCUGUUGACUAGAACACGUCUGACGGUCAGGGACGAAAGCUGGGGUAGCGAACCGGAUUAGAUACCCGGGUAGUCCCAGCCGUAAACGAUGCACGCUAGGUGUUGGGUCGGCCAUGAGCCGCCCCAGUGCCGCAGGGAAGCCAUUAAGCGUGCCGCCUGGGGAGUACGGCCGCAAGGCUGAAACUUAAAGGAAUUGGCGGGGGAGCACCACCAGGCGUGAGCCUGCGGUUUAAUUGGAGUCAACGCCGGGAACCUUACCGGGAGCGACAGCAGAGUGAAGGCCAGGCUGAAGACCUUGCUAGACAAGCUGAGAGGAGGUGCAUGGCCGUCGCCAGUUCGUGCCGUGAGGUGUCCUCUUAAGUGAGGUAACGAACGAGACCCGUGCCCCAUGUUGCCAUCAAAUCCUAAAGGGAUGUUGAGCACUCUUGGGGGACCGCAGCCGAUAAGGCUGAGGAAGGUGCGGGCAACGGCAGGUCAGUAUGCCCCGAAUCUCCCGGGCCACACGCGGGCUGCAAUGGUAGGGACAGAGGGCUGCAACCCCGAGAGGGGAAGCCAAUCCCUAAACCCUACCUCAGUUGGGAUCGAGGGCUGCAACCCGCCCUCGUGAACAUGGAAUGCCUAGUAACCGCGCGUCAUCAUCGCGCGGUGAAUACGUCCCUGCCCCUUGCACACACUGCCCGUCGAACCACCCGAAUGAGGUUUGGAUGAGGCAUGGUCGAAUGUUGGCCGUGUCGAAUCUGGGCCUCGUAAGGAGGGUUAAGUCGUAACAAGGUAACC